Non-coding RNA from Sphingomonas sp. Ag1, 54 nucleotides. NCBI's taxonomy places the organism in Bacteria, Pseudomonadati, Pseudomonadota, Alphaproteobacteria, Sphingomonadales, Sphingomonadaceae. The record is from Rfam.
CCUACGGCCCGGGCCCCUCUGGCGAGACUGUUCUCGUGAUGUCGGACCGUAUCG